RNAcentral lists this ribosomal RNA (449 nucleotides) under uncultured bacterium. RNAcentral describes it as "partial 16S ribosomal RNA". It matches the Rfam family "Bacterial small subunit ribosomal RNA", at positions 29 to 523 of the family's 1533-position model. The record is from RNAcentral.
AACGAACGCUGGCGGCAGGCUUAACACAUGCAAGUCGAACGAGAUCUUCGGAUCUAGUGGCAGACGGGUGAGGAACACGUGGGAACAUCCCUUUCAGUUCGGAAUAACGUUGGGAAACUAACGCUAAUACCGGAUACGUCCUUCGGGAGAAAGAUUUAUCGCUGAAAGAUUGGCCCGCGUCUGAUUAGCUAGUUGGUGAGGUAAUGGCUAACCAAGGCUACGAUCAGUAGCUGAUCUGAGAGGAUGAUCAGCCACAUUGGGACUGAGACACGGCCCAAACUCCUACGGGAGGCAGCAGUGGGGAAUUUUGGACAAUGGGCGCGAGCCUGAUCGAGCCAUGCCGCGUGAGUGAUGAAGGCCUUCGGGUUGUAAAGCUCUUUUAUCCGGGAAGAUAAUGACUGUACCGGAAGAAUAAGCCCCGGCAAACUUCGUGCCAGCAGCCGCCGUAA